GCUCAGUUGGUAAAGCACAAGGCUCUUAACCUUGUGGACGUGGAUUCAAGUCCCAC
Molecule: non-coding RNA, 56 nt
Organism: Triticum aestivum (bread wheat)
Lineage: Eukaryota; Viridiplantae; Streptophyta; Magnoliopsida; Poales; Poaceae
Source: Rfam